Molecule: ribosomal RNA, 471 nt
Filed under: uncultured bacterium
Lineage: Bacteria
Description: bacterial SSU rRNA
Rfam family: Bacterial small subunit ribosomal RNA
Source: RNAcentral
GAUGAACGCUGGCGGCGUGCCUAAUACAUGCAAGUCGAACGAGGAGCCAUUGUAUUCGUAUGGUGGAUUUCCUAGUGGCGAACGGGUGAGUAACGCGUUGGUGACCUACCCCAAAGAGAGGGAUAACAGUUCGAAAGGACUGCUAAUACCUCAUGUGGUCACAGAGGUUAGAGACUCUGUGUCUAAAGGAGCAAUUCACUUUGGGAGGGGCCUGCGUCCCAUCAGCUAGUUGGUAGGGUAAUGGCCUACCAAGGCGACGACGGGUAGGGGGCCUGAGAGGGUGACCCCCCACACUGGCACUGAAACACGGGCCAGACACCUACGGGUGGCAGCAGUAGGGAAUAUUGCACAAUGGGCGAAAGCCUGAUGCAGCAACGCCGCGUGCACGAUGAAGGCCUUCGGGUCGUAAAGUGCUUUUCGGGGAGAUGAGGAAGGACAGUAUCCCCGGAAUAAGGAUCGGCUAACUACGUG